GGGGGCGUAGCUCAGAUGGUAGAGCGCUCACUUAGCAUGCGAGAGGUACCGGGAUCGAUACCCGGCGCCUCCA
This 73-nucleotide transfer RNA is filed under the name Melitaea cinxia (Glanville fritillary). RNAcentral's name for it is "misc RNA ENSMCXG00005023352.1". It matches the Rfam family "tRNA". Rfam says of the family: Transfer RNA (tRNA) molecules are approximately 80 nucleotides in length. Their secondary structure includes four short double-helical elements and three loops (D, anti-codon, and T loops). Lineage: Eukaryota; Metazoa; Arthropoda; Insecta; Lepidoptera; Nymphalidae. The record is from RNAcentral.